Molecule: ribosomal RNA, 200 nt
Filed under: uncultured prokaryote
Description: partial 16S ribosomal RNA
Rfam family: Bacterial small subunit ribosomal RNA
Source: RNAcentral
UCAAGUCAUCAUGGCCCUUAUGUCCAGGGCUACACACGUGCUACAAUGGUCGGAACAACGUGAAGCGAAACCGCGAGGUUAGAGCGAAGCAUGGAAAACCGAUCGUAGUUCGGAUUGAAGUCUGAAACCCGACUUCAUGAAGUUGGAAUCGCUAGUAAUCGCGCAUCAGCAUGGCGCCGGUGAAUACGUUCCCGGGCCUU